AUCCAACUGACGAUUUACAAAUAGGACGAAACGCGCGUCCUGGAU
Schistosoma mansoni is the source of this 45-nucleotide non-coding RNA. The record is from Rfam. NCBI's taxonomy places the organism in Eukaryota, Metazoa, Platyhelminthes, Trematoda, Strigeidida, Schistosomatidae.